RNAcentral lists this ribosomal RNA (432 nucleotides) under uncultured bacterium. RNAcentral describes it as "bacterial SSU rRNA". It matches the Rfam family "Bacterial small subunit ribosomal RNA", at positions 30 to 465 of the family's 1533-position model. The record is from RNAcentral.
AUUGAACGCUGGCGGCAUGCCUUACACAUGCAAGUCGAACGGCAGCGGACCUUCGGGUGCCGGCGAGUGGCGAACGGGUGAGUAAUAUAUCGGAACGUACCUUUCAGUGGGGGAUAACGUAGCGAAAGUUACGCUAAUACCGCAUAUUCUGUGAGCAGGAAAGCAGGGGAUCGCAAGACCUUGCGCUGAUUGAGCGGCCGAUAUCAGAUUAGCUAGUUGGUGAGGUAAAGGCUCACCAAGGCGACGAUCUGUAGCGGGUCUGAGAGGAUGAUCCGCCACACUGGAACUGAGACACGGUCCAGACUCCUACGGGAGGCAGCAGUGGGGAAUUUUGGACAAUGGGGGCAACCCUGAUCCAGCCAUUCCGCGUGAGUGAAGAAGGCCUCGGUUGUAAGUACUCUUCUAGCAGGAACGAAACGGUAGGUCCCGUAA